CUGGAGGAAAAUUCCUUCCCAACCUCAAAUAUGGUGACCAGCUGAACCCUGAACAUAUGGGCAAGAUUCACCAGCCAGAUACCCGGAAAGAAUUUUCUGUAGUAACUCAGAUCCCACCCCAUCUAGCUUCCCCUUUUCUGCAGUGUGGUGCUUUACAUCCCUUAAAGCACUGCCCAGAAGAGAAGGAUUAUUCCAUCUCCCAACCGGGGGAGAUUUGAGGCAGAGAGCCUGGGACCUGCCCAAAUCUGCAAAGGGAGGUGGUAUCAGAAGAGAUCAGGUUCUUGGGUGUUCCUGGCUCCCAAUCCUGUGAUUGGGCCAGUAAGUGACUCAGCAUAAGUCUCUGCCCUCCUCCCACUUGGAGAGCUGCAGCUGGGUGGGGCUUUGCACAGACAUCCUUCGCCACGCACCAUUGGGGAUGUUUUUAUUGAAGGGUUUGUGUGUGUGUAUGAAGUCAUGUGCCAACUGUUGUGAAACACGGGCCUCAUUAAACAUGCAGUCUUUUCCUUUGCAUUAUCGUGUGAAUUUCCUUCUGCAUGUUCCUGGCCAACACGGCCAGAUUUGCCUUUCCUACGUUCGUAACAUCCGCUUGCUGCCUGGCCUCCGUCCUGUCCUCGAAGGCCUCUUCUCUCAGCUGCCCUCCUCCGACUGGUCCAAUUUCAGUCAUGUUCAGACUGAUUCUGCUGGCAUGUCCUGACAGCACAGAGCCCCACUCAGCCUGCACACACUGUUCCUGUUCACAGCUGUGGCCACGCCCACGAGGAGCCAAUGAAACCGUCUCUGGAGGCAGCCUGGUGUCCUGUGCCUUGGGGCCGGGAGCUGAGACUCCCUUCCUCGCUCUGGCCUUCGUUCCUGCUGCUGUAGCGUGGAGAUCAUGUUCACCCAUGGCAGGGAAGUGGGGCGCCGGCUGUAAAGUGCUGUAUGUGACGUGUUGUCACCAGCCCUGCGACAAACCCCAGCCUGAGCCACAAGAGCAGGGGAAGUUGAGUGGCACUGAAACGGGGUUAAAUUCAGAGCAGUUGUGAGAGGUGUUGUAAGACUUGCACCCACGCAUUGGGCUGAGCGGCUGUGCGGUGCAUGCUCGGGAACUGGGGAAGGUGUGAGUGAAAGGAAGCGGGGGAGGGGCGGCUAGUGUUGAAUUUUGCACCUUUUACACGGUCUUAGGGUUGUUGUUUUUUGGGGGGGGGUGUUGGCAGUGUUCCUCUCUGGCCCCUCAUCUUGUGAGUUAUCUCAGCCCCCGCCUCCUCCCUGGGUGAUGUAGAGGGGACGUGGGUGGGAGUCUGGGGUGCUGCGACAUGCACAGAGAGAUGUGACUUGUCCCCUCUUGCAAUCCCUGUGGACUCAGCGGCUUGGGCCUGGUGUCUAAUCCCCACCUUGAUCCAGCCAUGGUGGCUCCGGGUUGCUCUGGGAGGCCGCUGGGCAUCAAGGGAAGGCUUCUGCCUCUGCCCCUUUGUGAGCCAGUGGAAGGCUGGCUGGGCAGGUUACUCCAGCCACACUCUCCAGGCACUACCCCCUCCCCGUGACAGGGGUGUGGAACAAACCAAACAAGCAAAGGUUACAGCAGCAGUUCAGUCAACAGCAACCUGCGAGGGAGAGAGGCCCCUCGGUGCUGAGCACCACCACCGCCUGCAGGAGCCCAGCCCAGGAGGAGGAGCUGGGAGGCUUUUUGCUCUGGAAUCAACAGAAGAGGCUACAAUCGGCAUGGAGGCAGCGAGUCGAGGGGACAGUGCAGCAGCGCUGUCCAACGACAAGAUCUUUGUGCUGACUUGCGUCUACCUGGUGGCCUUAUCUCUGAGCCUCGUCGGCAGCAGCUCGGUCCUUGCUGUAUCCACCCUCAGGAGGAGAUGCUUCCAUAGCCAGCUGCUCCCCCUCUUCCUGCUCUCCCUGGCAGACUUCCUGGCUGCUUUGGUGCUGAUCAUCACGGCUGCCAUCCAGCUCCUUCCAGCCCAACUCUUUGUCCUGGCUUACGAGUUCUGCCCCUACGGCCUGAUGCUGGCCAUGAUGUUCUAUGCUAUCUCCUUCCUGAUGGUCAUUGUCUAUGCCUACGAGGUGAACCGCACCAUCCGUGGCUGGAGAGUGACGCACAUGACAGCUCUGCAGGAGAGGCGCAGGUGCGCGGAGAGGGUGCAGCACUGCCUGCCCUACACCCUGGCCUGGCUGCUCCCCGCUCUCAUGUUCCUGGGCCAGCUGCUGCGGAGAGACGUCGCUCCCACGGCCGUUGAACCCAGCGUGCCCCGUACGGCCAACCGCUCCCGAGGGGCCUACAGCCUGUACUGCUCCAGCUGCCUGGUCCUCAUCCACCGCGCGCAGGACGUCUGCUAUACGUACACAGGAGGGAAGGACACUGGCCUGGAGAUGAAAAUCAUCUUCUUCCUGUACCUGCUGCUGGUGCUCACCUGCUGCACAUUUUUGUACUGCCGGGUGAAACUCUGGUGCAGGAGGAACAAUGAGGGGCGGUUGCUGAACAUGGAGAACGGCGGCUUCGCCCGCAGGAACAUCCAAAGCGUUUGCAAAAUUUCUCGCUCCUUCCAGCUGGUUUUCCUGAUCUGCUGGACGCCAGCCUUCCUGCUCAGCAUCCUCUCCUUCACCAGCAUCAAGCCCGCCUCCAUCUUUGCACUUCAUGUUGCCAUGGGUGCUGCAGAAUUUCAGACUGGGAAUGAAAAAUGACAUGGAGAAAUCACCAGAGGGAAGCUGGCAGCUGGCAAAGGACAUCUGAGAAGGCGUAGAUGCAUCCAUCAACACCUGAAGAACAAGGAAGCAGCAUUGGACUGGGGUGGAGACCCUGACUGAGAAAGGUUCAGCCAGUAAGACUGCUGGAACAUGUGAUUUCCACAAGUCCAAAUGCUCAUUUGCUUAUCUACCCCAUCCCCACCGCGCGGGGGGGGGGGGGAGGGAGGGAGAAGAGAAGACAUUAGAACCAGCUGCCGUUAAGUUUUAAGAAUGCCACACAGAAUGAGAUCUGAUGGGAGGGAAUGAACAGCAGGAGUUGAGUGGGACUCAGAAAAUACUGUUAUCACAACUCCCCUCUUUGGAACAAAUUAGAGGGAGAAGCCAAUGCGAUUCUAACUGGAAUAUCUACCAUCGGUGCAAGUCGCUCUCUAACAGAGCAGGAACAGAAGAGGGGUUGAAAAAAAACAACUAUUACCAUGACUAGGAACAGACAUCCAGACAGAGCUCUUAACAAAUAUUAUGGUAGGGCACGAACCCUGAAGAACUAAAUACUGGGGCUGUCGAUUAAUCGCAGUUAAUUCAUGCGAUUAACUCAAAAAAAUUAAUCAAGAUUAAAAAAAUUAAUCGUGAUUAAUCGCAGUUUUAAUUGCACUUUUAAACAGUAGAAUACCAAUUGAAAUGUAUUAAAUAUUUUUGGAUGCUUUUUUACAUUUUUAAAUAUAUUGAUUUCAAUUACAACACAGAAUACAAAGUGUACAGUGCUCACUUGAUAUAUUUUUGAUUACAAAUAAUUGCACUGUAAAAGUGAUAAAAGAAAUAGUAUUUUUCAGUUCACCUCAUACAAGUACUGUAGUGCGAGCUCUUUAUCGUGAAAGUGCAACUUACAAAUGUAGAUUCUUUUUUGUUACAUAACUGAACUCAAAAUCAAAACAAUGUAAAAUUUUAGAGCCUACAAGUCCACUCAGUCCUAAUUCUUGUUCAGCUAAUCACUAAAUGAAACAAGUUUGUUUACAUUUAUGGGAGAUAAUGCUGCCCACUUCUUAUUUACAAUGUCACCUGAAAGUGAGACACCUCAAAACAUCUCUUUCAUACGGCAUUUGUAUGGCACUUUUGUAGCCGGCAUUGCAAGGUAUUUACAUGCCAGACAUGCUAAACACGUGUAUGCCCCUUCAUGCUUCAGCCAUUAUUCCAGAGGACAUGCUUCCAUGCUGAUGAUACUUGAUAAAAAAAAAUAUGUUAAUUAAAUGAAAUUACAUUAGUGACUGAACUCCUUGGGGGAGAACUGUACGUCUCCUGCUCUGUUUUACCCACAUUCUGCCAUAUAUUUCAUGUUAAAGCAGUCUCGGAUGAUGACCCAGCACAUGUUCAUUUUAAGAACACUUUCACUGCAGAUUUGACAAAAUACAAAGGUACCAAUGUGAGAUUUACAAAGAUAGCUACAGUAUUUGAACCAAGGUUUAGGAAUCUGAAGUGCCUUCCAAAAUCUGAAAGGGACAAGGUGUAGAGCAUGCUUUCAAAAGUCCUAAAAGAGCAACACUCUGAUGCGAAAACUACAGAAACCAAACCACCAGAAAAAAAAAACAAAAACAAAAAAACACAACAACAGAAAACCUUCUGCUGGUGGCAUCUGACUCCGAUGAUGAAAAUGAACAUGCCUCAAUCCGCACCGCUUUGGAUUGUUAUCGAGCAGAACCCAUCAUCAGCAUGGACGCAUGUCCUCUGGAACGGUGGUUGAAGCAUGAAGGGACAUACGAAUCUUUGGCGCAUCUGGCACAUAAAUACCUUGCGAUGCCGGCUACAACAGUGCCAUGAGAAUGCCUGUUCUCACUUUCAGGUGACAGUGUAAACAAGAAGCGGGCAGCAUUAUCUCCUGCAAAUGUAAACAAACUUGUUUGUCUGAGUGAUUGGCUGAACAAGAAGUAGGACUAAGUGGACUUGUAAGAGCUAAAGUUUUACACUGUUUUGUUUUUUCGUGCAGCUUUUUUUGUACGUAGUUCUACAAUUGUAAGUUCAACUUUCAUGAUAAAGAGAUUGCACUACAGUACUUGUAUUAGGUGAACUGAAAAAUACCAUUUCUUUUGUUUUAUACAGUGCAAAUAUUUGUAAUCAAAAAUAAAUAUAAAGUGAGCACUGCACACUUUGUAUUCUGUGUUGUAAUUGAAAUCAGUAUGUUUGAAAAUGUAGAAAACAUUCAAAAAUAUUUAAAUAAAUGGUAUUCUAUUAUUAACAGUGCGAUUAAUCACAAUUAAUUUUUUAAUUGCUUGACAGCCCUACUAAAUACUAGAUACAGCAGGAAGAAAAGGAAGACUUGUGGCACCUUAGAGACUAACACAUUUAUUUGAGCAUAAGCUUUCGUGAGCUACAGCUCACUUCAUCGGAUGCAUACAGAUACAGCAGGGGAAGUUUUCAAAUUGUGUGCGGGACUUAAGUCCAUUGUUCCAAUCAAAGUUGAUGGGAACCCUGGGGUUAGCUUUCCAUUCGCUUCUGUAAACAUCUCCCUUGCCAUCUCUUACCUGGAUACAGGCUAAGAUAGCAGAAUAGGUGUCAGAGACCAAUCAGAGGGGAAGUUAAUUCUUGUGCAGGAGAAAAGGUUUGUUCCCAUUAUAGACAUUGUGCUGGGUGUCAGGACUGCAGAGCCAAGCACAGUACCAGUCAAACCUGCUAGAACCUGCCAAUUAGAAGACAAGUUUAUUCUUCUCUAAGAAGAAUUCAAAUGUCUAUGAUGGUGUUCAGGCCUCUGGCAUAGAGCCUGUCUUUGUGGAAUAAUCUAGAGGGCAGGGUGGAACCCAGCAUUCCGUCAUAUGCUGUUCAUCCCCCCCCAUAUUCCUUCACCACACAGAUCAACCACCCCCCUACUCACCAGGGGGAUAAUGAAACUCUGUGUGAGCUCCAGCAGGUGGCGCCUCAAAAGGGCACUUUGGACUUCAGAUGGGCGCUUCCUCUGAACCCCCUGCAGGUAGAGAGUGACGUUACAGCACAGGGGCGCUCAUGAAGAAACCAUUUAACAGCCAGCGGCUUUAGUAGGCAAGAGCUGAGGUUAUACAUGUGUGUGCAGUUCUCGGCAAAAGAUGGCAGCUGCUUGCAGCCAGUCAAGGGGCAGACUGGAAAAGAAUAAUUUUGUGCACUCUCCCUAGCUUGGCCCAGAAUUCAAGCUCCACUCACUAAAGUGAGAUGCCACUCACCUAGACAAGAUUGUUUAGAUCGCCUAAUAUGAUCAUCCCUCUCCUUUCUUGCUAACAAUGCUAACGCUAGGCUCCAGAGCUCAACCAAGUGAAAUAAUCUUCUGAGAAGAGCGUCCCACUAAUUUUAACCCACUCUCGGAUAGCCUGGACUAAACCAUGACUGGGGUCAGGGUGAAGUCAAAGACCUCGGGCCAAAGGGAAAACCAGUAUUAUUUCUCCUUUGGGCUUCAAUAGUUUAAUCCAGACUUUAGCACUGCUUUCCUGCAGCACUUUACAGGAUGGGGAAUAGGGAUAGGAAAUGCUCACCUUUAACAAUCUCUUUAUCAGGGUUUUGUCUUUGUGCAGAAAUGUCUUGUAAGAGGUGUAGAUUCCUAGAUUAAAAACACAGAAAUGCUUAAAAACAAAUCACACCCCACUGCCAGUUUCUGAAGGUCACAUCAUUGUGCAGUAAAGCCUUGUUCACAAGCAGGGGAGGUGAAUUUCCCAAUCUCAACUCUGGCUAGUUAGAGAAAAAGCUCUGACGACAGAACCCUCCUAAAAUGUCAAGAGUUGCUGCCACAACAGCACUCACAGUAGGAUUAACCUUAGAGACCUUCCAACUGCCCUAAGGCACCCCCCCACCCCCAAAAGAAAAUAUCACAGAAAAAGACAUGUAACCAGCAGCAUUAGCUCAGGACUAGACUUGAGUUGAAUAGCUCAGUGGUGUUAGAUGGCUGUAUCUACCUAUCUAGGUACUUACAGGUCCCUUCACCAUAUUCGAUAGCCUCCCAAAUACUCAAUAGAAGUGAUAGGUAAAUUUCUCUCCACUCCCAACCUGCAGAUUAAAUAGCCUGAUUAAUAUCUGAGAGGGAGAGGAUGUGUUGCGUGUCUGUGACAAGAACAUAUUGAAAGUCUCAGCAUGAGUUCUGAGCAUGGUGAGGCCUGUGGCCCCAUCUCCUGCAGAAAUGAAUUCAUAAGAAUAGCCAUACUGGGCCAGACCAAUGGUCCACCUAGCCCAGUAACCUGUCUCUGGCAGUGGCCAGUGCCAGCUGCUUCCAAGGGAAUGAACAGUACAGGGCAAUUUUGAGUGAUCCAUCUCCGGUCACAGAGUCUGGCAGUUGGAGAUUAGGAAUACAUGGGGUUGCAUCCCUGAUCAUCUUGGCUAAUAGUCAUUGAUGGACCUAUUCUCCAAGUCUAGACUCAGCUCCCCUGAAAGUUCUGUCUCUCCCCUCACAAGCCUCUCCUUAUUAGCCAACAGCUUCAUUUCCCAAAUGGAACAAAACUGUCCUGGGAGGUUAUGGCAGGAGAGCCAACCGCUCAGAUAGUUAGGGUCAGUUCCAGAGAGGGGACUACGAACUGGACUGUCAGUGGGGAGCCAGUGCAGAGCGUAGAGCACCAUCACGAUGUAUUCAUGUGAUCUUGCUAAGCGGGCAGGCUGUGCAUUUUUCAGAGCGAGAGGCUUUGUUAGUGUAUUAUGUAUAGAGAGUUUAUCACCUACGCAUGGAUCACUGUGACCAAGUCGGUGGCUGAAAGAAUGAGGCAGAGUCUUCUGGCUAGGUGCAGAUGGACAUGGGUGCUUUUUGCCAUUUUCAGGACUCGUUUGGCCUGAGGCAGGCCAAGCCAACCAGCACCCAUAGUGGGUUUAACCAGAUGUGACAAUUAAAGGAAACUUAUAAACAAGUCAAACAUUCCGAUGCGACACUCCCCAGCAUGUGUUUUUACACCUCUCUUCCCACCAACUGAUGUUUCCUUAGAAAUGUUAACUCACUGCAAAGGGGCUAGAGCCCCAGACUUCAUGCAAAUCUGUGAAGACUCAGGGUAAGUCUAUGCUGCAAAUAAAGACCCGUGGCAGCAAGUCUCUGAGCCCAAGUCAACUGACUCAGGCUUGUGCUAUGGGGCUAAAAAUAGCAGUGUAGACAUUCCCACUCAGGCUGGAGCCUGGGCUCUGAAACCCAUCAGCGGCAGGUCUCAGAGCCCAAGCGUCUACACUACUAUUUUUAGCCCCGAAGGGCAAGCCCCACAAGCUCAUGUCAGUUGACCUGGGCUCUGAGUCUCAUUGUUGCUGAUAUAGCUCCUGUGUCUGGGGCCUGGGGCCCUCUUAUUUCAUGCGAGUUGCAAUGCCUAGGCACAAUGGGGUGAGUUAAGGAAAGCAGAAGUGAAGCUUGAGUUGUAUCACUGCAAUGCAGAGAUAAGAGUAGACACGCUGAGGGAGGGGGAACAGACCGGUGAUUCAGUCCAGUCACAGACCCCUGAAGACAGAACAGCCCCGCAAAACACUGCUAAACCCCACCUUCUUCAGCCGGUCAGAGCUAUAAAGCUACACAUCGGGCUACACAAGUACUUCCCAACAACCACUGGGAGAAACCUCUAAUAAGGCUUCUACCAUCUCCAAGGCUUCUCUUUCUUCACACAGAGUUGCCUAAGGGGGUUUUCUAAAACCAGGUGGGGGGGCCGCCUUCCACAUUUUCUGUGAUUUUUUCCUGUAUCAGAAGCCUUUAGAUGGCCCAGUAAUAACAAUGGAGACCUCAGGAGAGCGCAAGUCAGGAAGGACACUCACAUAACCGUAAAGAAUUACUGCACAGCAGCAGAGGAGCUGGAAGAAGUUACAGCCCUGGAGUUGCUCUCAGUUGAGGCAGAGGACAAUGCUCACAACAAACACAUUGCUGCAAAGCCUUCAAACUCAGCAAAGAGGAAGGAUAAACGCAAUUAAACCAAAAUUGAAGUUAAAUGGAAUUACCCGGCUUAGUGUCCAGAGUUUUCAGUUUGGUUAGUUUCUUCACCUUGACUUGUUUGGGUAAGUCACCUGUGGAAAGACACACAGUGUCUAGUAACAGGUUAUAAAGGCUGCAGUUUUAGCCUCAUAGCCACAGCACAUACGUGGGAGGACUCACACUUUAGACCAUCCAUGCCAAACUUGCAAAACUUAAACCGUAUCCUCCUGUGAUAUGAAUACUAAGCUAGUGCUGGUAUCCCACCUGCUACAGGGAGCUUUCAGAUCUGCCUCUGCCAGCCCAUGGUGGUGACAGGAAAAAAGGUAAUAAGAGUCGUGUAGAGAAGAACUCCUCAGCCCAACCUACAGCAGCACUCUUUGUUUUUCAGAAAAUAAAAACGGUGUCUCUCUA
Molecule: RNA transcript, 8950 nt
Organism: Dermochelys coriacea (leatherback sea turtle)
Lineage: Eukaryota; Metazoa; Chordata; Testudines; Dermochelyidae
Gene: GCC1
Gene name: GRIP and coiled-coil domain containing 1
Exons: 14
Source: RefSeq, a predicted model, not a curated record